RNAcentral lists this ribosomal RNA (600 nucleotides) under Enterococcus gilvus. RNAcentral describes it as "bacterial SSU rRNA". It matches the Rfam family "Bacterial small subunit ribosomal RNA", at positions 41 to 614 of the family's 1533-position model. Lineage: Bacteria; Bacillati; Bacillota; Bacilli; Lactobacillales; Enterococcaceae. The record is from RNAcentral.
GGGGGGGUACUAUGAUGCAGUCGAACGCUUUUUCUUUCACCGGAGCUUGCUCCACCGAAAGAAAAGGAGUGGCGAACGGGUGAGUAACACGUGGGUAACCUGCCCAUCAGAAGGGGAUAACACUUGGAAACAGGUGCUAAUACCGUAUAACAAUCGAAACCGCAUGGUUUCGGUUUGAAAGGCGCUUUUGCGUCACUGAUGGAUGGACCCGCGGUGCAUUAGCUAGUUGGUGAGGUAACGGCUCACCAAGGCAACGAUGCAUAGCCGACCUGAGAGGGUGAUCGGCCACAUUGGGACUGAGACACGGCCCAAACUCCUACGGGAGGCAGCAGUAGGGAAUCUUCGGCAAUGGACGCAAGUCUGACCGAGCAACGCCGCGUGAGUGAAGAAGGUUUUCGGAUCGUAAAACUCUGUUGUUAGAGAAGAACAAGGAUGAGAGUAGAAUGUUCAUCCCUUGACGGUAUCUAACCAGAAAGCCACGGCUAACUACGUGCCAGCAGCCGCGGUAAUACGUAGGUGGCAAGCGUUGUCCGGAUUUAUUGGGCGUAAAGCGAGCGCAGGCGGUUUCUUAAGUCUGAUGUGAAAGCCCCCGGCUCAACC